Dromaius novaehollandiae (emu) is the source of this 7558-nucleotide long non-coding RNA. RefSeq lists it as uncharacterized. The transcript is spliced from 3 exons. The record is from RefSeq and is a predicted model, not a curated record. Lineage: Eukaryota; Metazoa; Chordata; Aves; Casuariiformes; Dromaiidae.
AGUUUCCACAGAACCAGCCACCCGUGGCCUGGCUGGCGCGCGGCCCGUGCCGCUGGGACCGGGGCGACCGGGCUCGGCCGGCUGCCGGGCCGCGGCGUCCCCGACACCCUCGGGCCCGGCACCGGACCUCCACCGCGCGGGGCAACGGCUGGGACGAAGGGAAACGUGGUGAGAAUGUAUCGGAGGAGGCGGCACUGGCCGAGGCCGGUGGAUGCUGCAGCAGCCGCGGGCAGCCCUUCGCCCUCACCCUGCCCCAGCGAGCCCGCGGGAGGAAGCGGGCUCCAUCCUCCUGAGGCAAAACCGGAGCUGGCGCCAUCCCACAAAGCAUCUUCGGCCAAAAACGGGGAAGGAGCCUGCCCUGGGCUAAGGAAAGACCCUGCUGUUAACAGGGCACCUGCGCCAGCCCCCGCACGAGGCAAGGUGCCGUCGUCGCUUCAGCACGACGGUCCUGAGACCGGCCAGCGCCCGCGUUCACCACGGGAAUUUCCACAGCUUGGGCUCGGGGGCUCUUGGGCGGUUUGGGGAGAAUUUGGGGUUCAUGACGUAUCGCAGCACCGACCGCUUGUCCUCGAACGAGCAAAUCACCAGGCUGCAGCGAGACCAAACACGACAUCGGGCAGCGCAAAGCUGCAGCCCGUAACUUUUUCUGGCUGGGAGAGAGAGAAAGUAUCUCAGCAUCCUUCCUAGGACAAGUGUGUGAGGCUAAACAUAUGCUCGAUAAACACAUCUCUCUGGACCAGACACAUCUGUCUGGCUCCUGAAUUAACAAUUCCUGUGCCUGGCUGAGUUAGGUGACUGACUUUUAGCCAUUGCAUCAACUAUUUUCCUACAAUAAGACAAGACGGUCAGAUUUUUACAGCCUCCUAUGUAGAGAGCAGAUACACCCACACACGCUGGGGGAUGAGAAACUAAAAACAGCCAGUUUCUUCUUUACAAGCAUUCCCACUUUAACUAAAUAUUUGCAAUAUGUUUAUACAGAGUGAGCUGCCUGACCUUUUAUAGAGAGAGCUGAAAAGCAUUAGCUCUGCAGCCCUCGCUGCAAGCCGUCCACCUACAGAGGCCCAAGACCCACGCAGAAAACGCAAUAAUCAUAUUCCCCCCGCUUUAGCGAGGACAGAAAGGCAACGGCUUCUCUUCCAAAAACAUUGCCAAAGAUUCAUCUAAGUUGUCAUUUUUUUUCCUGGCUACAAGAUUUCUGAGAGAUACAAUAAAGGGUAAUACAAAUACCAGAAAGCUCUCAAACGCAAAUUAUCAACUGCUGGCGUUACACGAGGUGCCACGGCCCAGGAAUGGGCACAGUAUCGGAUGCCGUUAACAGGGACCGUUAACCUCAUGCGGAGACUCCACUAUUUGUCUGAUGCCAAACUGGUUUAAAACAACUGAGUCCCCGUACACAGGCUUUUGCCUUUCUGCACCUUUUGCAUGCAAACACACAUCAGCUUUUCAGGCGGGUUCGAGAGCACCCCACGCGCGGGGAGCGGCACCCGCCGGGACGAGCCGAAAUUGGGCUCGGGCAGCCUGGCGCCGGCUGGGUGCUCGUUCGCCCAGCGAGCGCUGCGCAGCGCAGGGCAUCGCUCGUGCAACGCAGUCCUUCCCUUGCACCCGUUCGGAUAAAAUUGCCUGGGAGGAUUAAUUCCAUCCCUUCCUCCAGGACUGUCUCCUUCGGGGGGAAGAGCGUACCUCGCGGGCUUGCCUGCGCCGGGGCUGCUCGCACGGCCCUUGCUGACUGCGGACUGAAGGACUGUCAACGUGCUGCGUGACAGAAAAUGCAAUAUCGGGUAUCGCUACACAAAAGGACGGUUAAUCUCUAGAGUCCUUCAAAUGUCUUAUAAAAACUCCAAUAUAUAAAUAAUACCAGUAUGGAAGUAGAGGUCCCUGCAGAGAUCAGGGCCCUAUCACGCAGGGUGUUUUAUGUACGUGUUGAAAAAGGCUGUCUAUACUCAGAGGAGAUUAUAUUUUAAAAAGAAGAUAAUGAACCUCAUUUUGCAGGUGGGGACAGAGGCAUAAAAAUAAUUUGCACAUGCAGAACUCGUUGCUAAGCCAGACGCUGAGCUCAGAUCCUCUUAUAGGUCCUGUCCACUGCCACAGCCACCAAAGCAGCCUUUUCCUCUGGCAGCUCAGUGCUGUCGUGUCACGGUGCCAGGUUCCACCAGAAAAACAACCCAGGUCGUUACGCAGUUAUACGGCUAUUCUGGGGCAAAUUCUGUGCUCACUUGCACUGGUGCAGCCCUGCUCGCUCCAGCCUGGCUGCAGCAGAAAGCCGAGCUAAAUUUGGCCCUCGGGCACCUCCAAAAAUAAUUGGAGGUGAGAAAAACACAAUAGCAGCACACGGCUUUUAAAAGUAUACAUAAAAUAUUUAAAAAAAAUAGAUAAAUUAUAUAUGUGUAUACAAUGCCCAGAGAUGCCUCGAUUUAUACGAUACGGUUUCUUGAGAGCAGUACAGCUCCAGGCAACAGAACCGAGAAGUCAAGCUGAACAGCAAUACUGUAUCCCAGAGAUGGUGACAUCUUAUAGCAGGGAACAGAGGGGCCCCUGGGGCACCGCGUAAAAAUUAUUACCGAGCAGCAAAACAACAAUGUAAGUUAAUUUCAUUGAAAUUAACAGUAGUUUCCUCCCCGUGAGCACGCGGAGAGGUAUAACCAGAGCAAAAAGGGGGGAGGAACGUGCAGAGUCAAGCAGCUUGAGAGGCUAAACCUCACAAAUGCUUUGGAGAGACUUAAAAACAAACAAAACCACUCCAGGAUUUAGGAGUGAUGGGCCUUAAAAAAACUGUUUAAAUAAUUGCUCUCUCUCUCUUUUGGAAGCUUUAAAAAAGAAACCCAGCUUCUUCUUCAACUGUUCAACAAAUUUUCCCCCACCGAGCCCGAGGAUGACAGAAGGCUGCUUGCAAUGCAUGUGCUGGUGGAGCUGCUCAAUUUUACUUCCAGUAAGGAGACAGCAGCGUAUUUGCAGCAUUUGUAACAAAUGCAAGAUUUCACAUGCAUCUAAAUCUAAGUCUAUUCAUCAGACCCAGAACCCAGUCCCAAAAACACGUUGGUCCAGAAAUGGAUUUUUGUGUGAUAUAACUACUGCAGACGUGGCUCUCAUUUAUUUGAGCUGAACUGAAUUACAGUAAUUAUAUUAGUGCAUACUUCCAAAGCGAGUGUAGUUAGACCAGAACGGACCUGGUUUAUGUUGGUACAACUUCUUUAUUUUCUCUGGAAGUCUUCUGGUACCAGGACCUUCGCGGCAAUGGGUCGUGUGCCUUUAAAGCGCACACAUAAUUAAGACGGUCGGAGAGCAUGUGUACACGCCUUUCGUAAAUUGAGGCUCUGACUCUGUAAAAAGACAAUCCCCAUUCAGAAAGUACUUACACACAUGGUUAAGCCCUGCUGACUUAAUUUGUUAAGUACGGCCUGUUUUAAGCAUAUGCUUAAAUGUUUUGCUGAAAUUGAGGCCACAGAAUUUGCGGCUCGGAGCGGUUCUGCUGCGCCUAGAGGACUCGUCACAUCAGUUAGGACUGCGCCUAGAGGAGCCACGUGGCCGGGCUCCGUGCUGGAGGAGCAGUAUCCUACUAAACACUUACAACAAGCAGUAAAAAAAAAGGAAGAAAGAAAAGAAAAGAAAACCCUUUUAAGCAGGGGAAAGUUACUGAGGACGAAACACUAUAACUUGGGCCAGCCAAUAUGGAGCAUUUCCUUCUGAGAACUUUUAGCGCAAGUAAAUCCCUAGGUGAAACCUCGCAGGAUAAAGACACGGGCGGUACAAAGUCUCAUCUUCUUCACCUAAACCAAAAGCUUUCCCUUCCCAAGGGGGUCUCGCAGCUCCUCGCCCCUCAGAGUUUCUCACCGGACAGAAACAGGGCCCCGAGGGUGCUCGAGCACGUGAAAGUCAAACCCACCAGGAAAAGGAGAUUCACCAGCAAAACAGCAGCUUCCUCGUUUUAACGCCUGUCUCGCCUUCUCCGUCUUCCCUGGGACCGGCCAGAUCGGUAUAAGCUAGGGGACUGUUGCACCCAAAGGGAAGGUCUUAGGACAAGGGUAAAAGUCAGCUCGUGCUGGUUCUCACUUCUGCCUCUUCCCACGUCCUCGGCCCGGCCUGGGGCUGGCGGCUCCGUGCCUCAGUUUACUCUGAGCCGAGGUAGGAAUCAAAACCCUGCUGUCUUCCUCCACCGCUUCUUCUAAAACUCACUUUAAUACAAACUCUUCUUCUUUAAACACAAAGAUAAGAGGAAAAAAAACAUUAAACAACCUAGCAAUGUCCUCUAGUAAUAACAAAACAAAAAGCAAAAUACUUAGAAAUUCAAAACGAAGACCGAAAGCCUUUCGUCACGUCCUCCUGCUGAAGUUCACUAAUGUAUGAAGCAAAUGGGGUAACAUAUCACAGGCAUCCAAGACAUUUGUAAUGCCAGGGUCAAAGUGCCACGCGCAGAAUUGUGCCGUCUCCCUCCAGGCAAAACUCUCCGAGGCAGAUUUUCAGCUGGUGUAAAUUGCCCAAACCCCAUAAUGAAGUUAUGACAAUUUACAACAGCUGAGGAUCUGCUCGUCUAAUGAAGAGAAAUACUGGGAGGAGGGAAUGAAUUAGUUUUAACUAAGAGCUCAUUGCAGAGCACACACAAACACCUUCGAGAGGUCCCUGAGAUCCUUCCCUUGUUUAAAGAAAGGAGACGAGAAAGAGCAGCAACGUCCCUUCCCGAGCAACGGGAUUUUUCUUCGCCCCUUCAGCUGAAGGAUGGAAUUCAAUAAAAGCUUCUCAGACACACAGGAAAAAAAUGAUCUGCAAGUAAACGAAGAUGUAAAUAGUAUUAAAAAGGGGCUUCACUUUUCUUCUCGUCUGCGGGUUGUUUUUUUCCUGUUUCCCUCCAACAGGAAAGCCAGCCACGCUGGCCCAUAUUUCACCGCUGACAGCCCCUUCCAUCACCGAAACAAUAGCCCUGCGCCACUGACCAGGGUCACCGCCGCGCGGGCACUUUCCCAACACCGCAGGAUCAACAGAAAACAUUAGUCUCUAUCUCCGAUUUUCUUCCUGCGAUUCUCUCGACAGAGCCCGCUGCAAGCCGGGGAUAUUUCACGGAAUAUCUACAAAAUCGAGGGGAAAAAAGCGCUUGUGUGCUGCGCUGAACAAAGAGCUCGGAUGCAAAAGCGUUUUGUCUGGAUGCGGUCUGAGCAGCGCGAGUUCGCUGCAUCACACGUAGUCAGGAUCGUGUAUUGAUCUAUAGAUAAACUAUCAGGGCAGCGACUGCUUACAAUCCACCCUCCGUGUAACCGAUGUAAAAAUAAAAUACGCUGCCGCCGUACACGGCACACGCACGUCCUUCCCACCCGGGAGCCCCGUUUCCUGCCACAGGUGUCCCAAGGACGGCUCUAAUAAACACGAGCAUUUCAGCUUUCCAAAGAAUAACGCAGAGUUACGCGUUCAGAUGAACUCAGAGCACUUGAAUUUAAAUGCAUUAUUCCCGUAUUAGACUGUACACGAGGUAUGAAAUACUCUGGAAGUAUCGGUGUGCAAAAUUUCAGGCACCCAAGGCUGGAAAGAGAUUUGAUCUGGUGCUUUCGGGCACCAGCACAAAAUCUUUUGGGGCACAGAAAAAAGCCACAAGAGGGGGAGCGGGAUGCAAAGGAUAAAGGAAAAUAAAACACUCCUUUGUGGUCUCUGUCUGCAAAGUACCGCACAUUUUAAAAGCCCAGAAAAAACAGGAAAUGAUAAAACAUAAUAAAAUAAAAGCCAUGCAAUACCAAAUCCUAGUUUAAAUUCAGCAUUACUAAUGUUAACGAGAGCCUGCUGGUUUUAAGCCUUGAUUUCUUGGUGUUCCAUUUUUUUAAGCUAAACUAAGUUUUUGAAUGUUCUUUUCUCAUAUUUUUUGUAAAGAAAGGAAGGAAGGAAAAAAAGUCCAAAGCUCUUCAGCUGAAAGGACUUUUAAAACAUCUGUCAUCAUAGAUGUGUAAAACAAAAACCGGCAGCAGCGAAUUCUCCGUCCUUAUUCACUGUGUUACCCAGCAGAGGCAAAAUUCACGCUCUGCAAGUUUUCCUGGGAAGCACUGUGGAGCAGAGAUUUUCUUUUUUUAAUUAAAAAAUUGUUUCAAUUAAAAAAAGAGAGAGAGAGAGACUAAGUGGAGAAGAAGUCUGAAAAAUGUGUCUACUUAGACUUCAAACCUUUUUCUAAGCAGAAAUGCAGAUUUCAAUGAUAAGACGAGUGAAGGGGAUGUGGAGAGAACACCUGAAAGAGCCACUGACAGCACUGGUGUCAGAGGUACUCGAUGGCUGUUUACACCAAGUGCCAUCUGGCUGUAUAGAUAUAAUAACAAUUAUUCCAUCGAGGUAUGCAGCUCUCUAAAUCAUAUUAAUAUACAAUGAUUCCACUAGUCUUAUAGGACUUGCUGUUUCUGUGUGCUCCCAUUUAACCUGGGUAAUGUGCUAAAACAAGCCUGCCUCAUCAUUAAGAAUUGAUUUUUUAUUUAUGUGAAUGUCACUUGCAAUCCCAUGAUAUCCCUUUGUAAUUCCAGAAAACAGGGGCUGCAAACCUGCGUUAAUCUCGUUUUAUGGCAUAUCUUUAAAAAUUUGCAGCAUCUUGCUACAUUUGGAUAUUUAUGUUGAGAUUUGUGUCCUCGCGCAAGGCUGCUGUUUUGCUUCCGAGAUCUAUUUCACACGGCACUGGCGCAAAGUAUCUAAUAUACUUCAUUAGCUAUAUUACAUCAGAUAAGGGUUUUAUUUCUUUAAAUUAUUUAACCUUGGUAGAGCCCACUGGGACUACAUAAAUUACAGCCCCACUAAUGAAAAUCAUUAGUUAGGCUAUUCAAAAAGACAACAGGAGAAGAAUUAGAUAUUUUUUCAAAUCAACUCUUUUCUAUAUUUGAAAUCCAAGAUAUUUGAUAAUUCAGCGCAAUCAUCUGUUUGCUCACAUCAGUGCCGAUUAGGGCUCGAUGCAGAAACAUCUGAGGCAGCUAUAUAACAUUUUUGCAGAAUAUACAUUUUUUUCCUCCCGUUUCUGGAGUCCUCUUAAAAGCUCCUCUGCUGCCUUCUGAAGGAGAGCAGACUAUUAAACACCUUUUUAUCAUCAUCAGUAGAGCCAGAAUUUAGUUCCUAAUUACAGAAAUAAAUGUCAAACACUUGUGUGUCUUUUCUUAAAGAUGGAGCACGUGAUGCAGCCGUGGAAAUCCGAGCUGCCGGAGCUCAGCCCCCACGGCAGGGCCCUACCUUCUCCUCCUGGAGAAGAUUCCCGCACCGGAAGCAGGAUUCGGCGGUCCUGCAAAGCCAGCUGCAGAAAGCCACAGCAAAAAUAAAAAUAAUAAACAGGGACCAUUGCAAUAUGGAAGAUAUCCUACACUUGCAGCGCCCCGAAAUCGGAAUGGCCUCCCCGGGAGGUCAGCAGGACUGGUGAUGGAUUCGUGAAGCCACCAAAGUUUCUUCUGGCCUGCAGAGCUGGACCAGAGCGAUCCUGCGGGACCGCGCGGUGCCCGGUCGUCCCCGGCGGCUCGUGACCACCUCCAGUGUUCGUGAGCAGACUGGUCAGCCCUGAAAGCAAACCAAGAACCCCCAGCAUUUAAAAAGCAUUAUCAGUCAAAUAAAUAAUUUUUCUAAA